Molecule: non-coding RNA, 114 nt
Organism: Acanthosepion pharaonis
Lineage: Eukaryota; Metazoa; Mollusca; Cephalopoda; Sepiida; Sepiidae
Source: the annotation of a GenBank genome assembly
UUACGGUCAUAUCGCGUUAAAAUACCGGUCCCCGUACGAUCACUGAAGUUAAUAAACGUCGGGCCUGGUCAGUACUCAGAUGGUUGGCCGCUAGGGUAUAUCAGGUGCUGUAAG